RNAcentral lists this unclassified non-coding RNA (185 nucleotides) under uncultured Amphisphaeriaceae. RNAcentral describes it as "sequence contains ITS2". The record is from RNAcentral. Lineage: Eukaryota; Fungi; Ascomycota; Sordariomycetes; Amphisphaeriales; Amphisphaeriaceae.
AGUCCACUUAAGCCUUUUUGCUUAGUAUUGGGAGUCUACUUUUGGCGGGAGCUACCCUGUAGCCCACCCGCAGUGUAGUUCCUCAAAGACAGCGGCGGAGUCGCGGUUUUGCUCUGAGCUUAGUAAUUUUUUCUAGCUUUCGAGCGGUCGCUGCCCCAUUGCCGUAAAACACCCCCCAUUUUAAU